This is a long non-coding RNA of Columba livia (rock pigeon), 1462 nucleotides long. RefSeq lists it as uncharacterized. The record is from RefSeq and is a predicted model, not a curated record. NCBI's taxonomy places the organism in Eukaryota, Metazoa, Chordata, Aves, Columbiformes, Columbidae. The transcript has 2 exons.
CGCCCCGGCCGAGCUGCCGUGCCGCAGGAGUUACUAGGGGAGUUGGCCCUGGUGCAAUCCAGUCCGGUCGGUGCGGGACCGGCCUGCCGAGGACGGGCGGCAGCCGGGGCUGGAGGGGCUGCUGCUCCGGCGCUGCUUUAAACCAUUGACCUGGAAGGCUGGCGGUGGUGCAGCUGCAAAAUAAAAUAGUCUUAUACUGGGGUGGUGUUAGGCCUCUGGUGCUUCUUGGCAGGUGUGUGCACCUGCCUAGUUUUACAGUGGUCCCGCUGCCAAAGUCACUUAGAAUACAGAAAGUACACACAAAGUAGAAUCAAAGAAUAGUUUGGGUUAGAAAGGACCUUCAAAGCUCAUCUAGUCCAGCCCCCCCUGCCAUGAGCAGGAACAUCUUCAACUACAUCAGGUCGCUCAGAGCCCCGUCCAGCCUGGUCUUGAAUGUCUCCAGGGAUGGGGCAUCUACCACCCCUCUGGGCAACCUGGGCCAGUGUUUCACCACUCUUACUGUAAAAAAAUUUCUUCCUCACAUCUAGCCUGAAUCUCCCCUCCUUCUGUUUAAAACUGUUACCCCUUGUCCUCUCACAACAGGCCCUGCUAAAAAGUCUGUCUCCAUCUUUCAAGUACUGAAAAGCCACAAUAACCUCCCCCAGAGCUUUCUCUUGUCCAGGAUGAACAGUUCCAACUCUCUCAGCCUGUCCUCACAGGAGAGGUGUUCCAUCCUUCUGAUCAUCUUGGCGACCCUCCUCUGGAACCUCUCCAACAGGUUUGUGUCUUUCCUGUGCUGAGAGCUCCAGCGCUGGAUGCAGUACUCCAGGUGGGGUCUCAAAGUAGCUGCCAGAUCAUGAUGUCCCCAAGACCAGGCGUGCUCAGAGGUGCUUGCUAUGUGCCACAGAGCCCCACGUGAACUUUCCAGACAGCUCUGAUUACUCGUAAAGAGCACUGGAAUCUGGAAAGUGCUGCAAGUCAUUAAUUUGAGACCACAGACCAUCAGCUUUGGGAGGAAAGUUUGCACUACUCCCUCCUUGGAAUAAAUCAGUGGACUGCUUCCCUCCACUAGCAGCUCUUAAUAUUAGUCGUGAUGUGAAGAAGCUGAGGACAAAGCACAGACCUGUGAAACCAGUUUUCUACUGCCCGACAUCUCUUAGGAUUGUCUGCCCAUCUAAAGAAGGAGCAUAAAGUCCUGACAGACACGAUCACCCAUUUUCCCUUUUCCAGACCUGCUGGGCAGGUGUCAAUGGCGGUGACGGGGAAUAACCAUGAAUUUAGGGGCAAAAAGAGAUUAGUUGACUUUUUAUGUGACUCCAAGUGGGAGGAUCAAAGCAUAUGCCCCAGCUACAAACAAAUUCCAGCUUACUGGAAAAUGGACCUGAAAUGAAUCUUUGCAUCAUGUUCAGGGCUUGUACUGUUUUUGGGAGGCUUGCUGUAAGUUAAACUGGAAAAAUAAAGUAUAGAGAGUUGAGAAAGGAAA